UACGUAGGGGGCUAGCGUUGUCCGGAUUUAUUGGGCGUAAAGAGCGUGUAGGCGGCCAUGUAGGUCCGGUGUGAAAACUCGAGGCUUAACCUCGAGAUGUCAUCGGAAACCAUUUGGCUAGAGUCCGGAAGAGGAGAGUGGAAUUCCUGGUGUAGCGGUGAAAUGCGCAGAUAUCAGGAGGAACACCGAUGGCGAAGGCAGCUCGCUGGGACGGUACUGACGCUGAGGCGCGAAAGCGUGGGGAGCGAACAGG
Molecule: ribosomal RNA, 253 nt
Filed under: uncultured bacterium
Lineage: Bacteria
Description: partial 16S ribosomal RNA
Rfam family: Bacterial small subunit ribosomal RNA
Source: RNAcentral